Piliocolobus tephrosceles (Ugandan red Colobus) is the source of this 2115-nucleotide long non-coding RNA. RefSeq lists it as uncharacterized. The record is from RefSeq and is a predicted model, not a curated record. NCBI's taxonomy places the organism in Eukaryota, Metazoa, Chordata, Mammalia, Primates, Cercopithecidae. The transcript has 4 exons.
CUCCUCGGUUCAAGCGAUUCUUGUGCCUCAGCCACCAGAGUAGCUGGGAUUACAGUUGAAAGCUUAAAGACAAUCUUGGAUUCUGAAUCUCUGACACUUCCAUGGUCUCUUGAUCAAAUGGGGCAGCAGCAGGCAAGGAAGCAAACACGGGGGCCACUCCAGAUUAUCUUACUCAAGACCACCACCAAGAAGAAGGGAAGGCCUACAAUGGCAGAGACAUGGAGGUCAAUGUGGGAUGGGGAGAUUUCGGUCCCAGAGGUAAGAGAAAGGGCAGUCCACACUCUCGGUUUAUGGCCUUGAAGUCGAGCAAGCUAUACUAAGACAACAGGGCUGUAUAGUAUUCCAUUGAAGAGAAUGGAAACUCUGUGUGUGUAAGACUUGGCUGCAAUGCAAGAAGCUUUGCCUUUGUACUGGACUGGAAUGGACUGGAGCCAGACAUUCUCCCCUCCCCUGGCCUUUUCAGCUGGCAGAGCUGCUGCAUUUCAGGACAGGGAACAAAUAGUGUCACAUGCUCAACAGGCACAUAAAUAUUUGCUGCCAAAUUUCCAGUGCUCCCCAGACCCAUGUUUUCAUGUAAAACCUCUUUUCUCUUGCCUGGACUACUACUGCAGUGGACUCCACACUGGCCUCCAGCCCAUCCUCCACAAUGCUGCCAGAAUCAUCUUCUGAACAUGAAAAUUCAACUACAAUAUUCUGCUGAAAAUCCUUCAGUGGUUCAUGUUGGUCUGAUUCUUUUUUGGAGGGUCAAUGCCCCUUUUGAGAAUCUCAGGAACACAAUGGACUCCUUCCCCAGAGGGGAGAAAUUACUUCAUGCCUGAAAGUCAGCCCCUGCUCUCAGAAUAACAUACGAACUGCUAAGCUUGGCACUAGCUUUCACUACUGGCCCUGGCCUCUCUCCAGCCUUCUUACUGUUUGCUUUUCAUAUUUUCCUGCUUCAGUCAUAUUGAAUUAUUUGCAGCUUCCUCCACACUUCCUGCUGUUUGCUGCCUUUGUGACUUUGCAUAGGCUGUUCCCUUUGCCUGGAAUGCCCUGCCCAGUUUUAGCCACCUGACCAGUUACAUUCUUUCUUUACUAAACUGAAGCAUCAUCUCUUCUGUAGUCUACCCAGCCACUCCAGGAAGAUCUGGGCAUGUAUCUAAAACCUCCAAUACAGGGCUUUAUUGUACUGCAAUUGUCAGUUUUCCCAAGAGACUGAGUUCCUUGAAGGAAGGAACUGGACUUUUCAAAUCUGUUGCCUCGUAUGCAGCAUGGGACCUAUCUUAAUUCAUCAGCACUUAGUUGUGCAAUGAAUAGAGCCCAACUGCUACCAACACAUCUUUCCUCAUCUUCCCCCAUGGGAAUCUCGCAUCUACAGGUAAUUCCAGAAUGAAAGACAGUGUUUCCUAAACCGUAGUCAUUCAGAUAGCACCUUCACAACUGUUACAGUAUCUAUCAUCCACAGGUACAAUUUACUUUUUAAGCUAAUCACUAUUCGAACUUCAAUAUUGCCUCACUGUAAGCUGUAAUAACUGUAAAAUUAUGUAUUGUGCUAAUUCUAUCUUUUUUCCUAAGAUUCAAAUAUUAAAAGACAGUCAUCCCAGCACUAACUAGUGUUUCCCACACUCCUCUAUUAAGAAGCACGUGAGAUACUUGGUACAAACAUAACAUCCUGAGUCCCACCCCAAAGCCACAUCAAAUGCUCCAGGGAAGGGAUCUGGGAAUUCGUAGGUUUAACAAGUGCCCCAAAAUGAUUAUUAUCUGUUGGAGAAUCUAGGCAACAAUGAAUUAACGAAAGCUCUCCACCACUUGGUACUGGUACCAGGUUUGAGGAUCACAGGGAAGGGGGAUAGCAUAUCAGACUAGCAGAGUUGCCAGAACUCAGGCUUUCAAAAGAGAGGUGCCACCCUCUCCCAUGUAUAUGUAAGUAGCAAAGAACCCAUUCAGACUACAGUAGGAGAAUCCUGAGGGUAGAGGUUCAUUUAUGCUAUACAUAUCCAAAUUCAUUAUAACAAGUUUUCCAAGGACUGGGCACAGUGGUUCAUGCCUGUAAUUCCAACAUUUUCGGAGGCUGAGGUGGGAAGAUCGCUUGAGGCCAGGAGUUUGAGACCAGCCUGGACAACAUGGUGAGACCCCAUG